GGAAUCGUAGCUCAGUUGGCAGAGCAUUGGACUAGUAUCCCAAAGGUCGCGGGUUCGAUUCCCACCGUGGCCA
This 73-nucleotide transfer RNA is filed under the name Paramuricea clavata. It matches the Rfam family "tRNA". Rfam says of the family: Transfer RNA (tRNA) molecules are approximately 80 nucleotides in length. Their secondary structure includes four short double-helical elements and three loops (D, anti-codon, and T loops). The record is from Rfam by way of RNAcentral. Lineage: Eukaryota; Metazoa; Cnidaria; Anthozoa; Malacalcyonacea; Plexauridae.